GGUCGGUUAGCUCAGCUGGUUAGAGCGUCGUACUAAUACAAUACACGUUGUAUCAUGUAAUGCGAAGGUCAUGAGUUCGAUCCUCAUACUGACCA
Molecule: transfer RNA, 95 nt
Rfam family: tRNA
About the family: Transfer RNA (tRNA) molecules are approximately 80 nucleotides in length.
Source: Rfam